This 677-nucleotide long non-coding RNA is filed under the name Olea europaea subsp. europaea. Lineage: Eukaryota; Viridiplantae; Streptophyta; Magnoliopsida; Lamiales; Oleaceae. The record is from RNAcentral.
CCAAUUUCGAGAUGGUGUUGCAAGGUCAAGCAAGCUAAAGGGACUAAAAGUAUAUACAAUAAUUUUAAAGUUAUGAAAAGUCUUUUCUUUUUCACGAAUGAAAAUUGCUUGGUACAUGCCUGUCUAUUAAUUUUCUUCCCUCAAGUGCGCACACUCUAUUCGUCUCUCUACUGUAGGAAGCUAGCCAUGCUAAAAAUUCCUUGCUGUGAUGAGACUAAAGUGAGAAAGGGGCUUUGGUCUCUAGAAGUAGAUGCAACCCUCAAAAAUUACAUUCAAAACUAUGGUACUGGUGGCAACUGGAUAACCUUUCCACAGAAAGCUGGUCACAACUCAUACACACUCUCUCUUUGUGUUAACCCCAUCACUCACAUUUCUGUAAAUGCAUGCUUGUGAAAUAUAAGAAGGCCAUUUUUCUUACAGCAAAAAAGGGAUUGAGCAGGGCAGCACAUUUCAAUAGCACUAUCAAAAAAUCUACUAAGAGUGAAUUGAAUUUUUAGUACUAGAAUUAGUUAAAUUAAAAAAAUGGACAAGAAACUAAACGAAAUAGUGAAAAAUUAGACUCGCAACACUAGCACACUUCUUAGCUUUAAGUGAACACAAGCUCAAAAAUUGAAACAAAUUUUUAAUUGAAAAAAUUCACCGACUUGAUGUCCCUCUUGAUGGACCUACCAAGUCGG